AGUGAACGCUGGCGGUAGGCCUAACACAUGCAAGUCGAACGGCAGCACAGGAGAGCUUGCUCUCUGGGUGGCGAGUGGCGGACGGGUGAGGGAUACAUCGGAAUCUACUCUGUCGUGGGGGAUAACGUAGGGAAACUUACGCUAAUACCGCAUACGACCUACGGGUGAAGGCAGGGGACCUUCGGGCCUUGCGCGAUUGAAUGAGCCGAUGUCGGAUUAGCUAGUUGGCGGGGUAAAGGCCCACCAAGGCGACGAUCCGUAGCUGGUCUGAGAGGAUGAUCAGCCACACUGGAACUGAGACACGGUCCAGACUCCUACGGGAGUCAGCAGUGGGGAAUAUUGGACAAUGGGCGCAAGCCUGAUCCAGCCAUACCGCGUGGGUGAAGAAGGCCUUCGGGUUGUAAAGCCCUUUUGUUGGGAAAGAAAUCCAGCUGGCUAAUACCCGGUUGGGAUGACGGUACCCAAAGAAUAAGCACCGGCUAACUUCGUGCCAGCCGCCGCCGUAA
Molecule: ribosomal RNA, 506 nt
Filed under: uncultured bacterium
Lineage: Bacteria
Description: partial 16S ribosomal RNA
Rfam family: Bacterial small subunit ribosomal RNA
Source: RNAcentral